Molecule: long non-coding RNA, 427 nt
Organism: Numida meleagris (helmeted guineafowl)
Lineage: Eukaryota; Metazoa; Chordata; Aves; Galliformes; Numididae
Exons: 3
Source: RefSeq, a predicted model, not a curated record
GGAGAAAGCACAUGGUCCUCCUGCAUUUUACUGUGAUUAAGGUUGCCUUCCCAUCUCAUGUCCUUGAUUAGAUCUGUGCAGUGACUGCCUCCCUGUUAUGAAGAUGGGUCAUGUCUUUCAACCAGCUGUUUUGCCUGAGCCUAUACCUACUGCAUCUCUCCUGUAUAUUGACUCAUCUGAAGGGUUUCAGUGUGUCCACAAAGAGUAACUUUUCACAAAAGAUAGAUCUGGAAAAGCAUGUGGAUGUUACCACAAGUCUGAUCUGAUGCAUUUUACCUCGGAUUUGUUCCAGUAGUGUUUUCAAAUAAACACUGAAGUCUGAAGAGAAAUCGUCUGUUGGAAUUCCUCUGCCUUAUACUGUGCAUGGAAAAAAAUUUCCAUAUGACCAAUAAAUAAAUAAAUACAAAUAAAAUCAUGAUCACCAACA